UACGGGAGGCAGCAGUGGGGAAUAUUGCACAAUGGGCGAAAGCCUGAUGCAGCUAUGCCGCGUGUAUGAAGAAGGCCUUAGGGUUGUAAAGUACUUUCAUCGGGGAGGAAAAAACAAAACUAAUAAUUUUAUUUCUUGACGUUACCCGAAAAAGAAGCACCGGCUAACUCCGUGCCAGCAGCCGCGGUAAUACGGAGGGUGCUAGCGUUAAUCAGAAUUACUAGGCGUAAAGAGCACGUAGGUGGUUUUUUUAAGUCAGAUGUGAAAUCCCUGGGCUUAACCUAGGAACUGCAUUUUGAAACUGAAAUACUAGAGUAUCGUAGAGGGAGGUAGAAUUCUAGGUGUAGCGGUGAAAUGCGUAGAUAUCUGGAGGAAUACCUGUGGCGAAAGCGGCCUCCUAAACGAAUACUGACACUGAGGGUGCGAAAGCGUGGGGAGCAAACGAGGGAUUAGAU
This 455-nucleotide ribosomal RNA is filed under the name uncultured bacterium. RNAcentral describes it as "bacterial SSU rRNA". It matches the Rfam family "Bacterial small subunit ribosomal RNA", at positions 340 to 783 of the family's 1533-position model. The record is from RNAcentral.